RNAcentral lists this ribosomal RNA (238 nucleotides) under uncultured bacterium. RNAcentral's name for it is "partial 16S ribosomal RNA". It matches the Rfam family "Bacterial small subunit ribosomal RNA", at positions 95 to 334 of the family's 1533-position model. The record is from RNAcentral.
CGGGCGGACGGGUGAGUAACGCGUGGGUAACCUGCUCAUACAGGGGGAUAACAGUUAGAAAUGACUGCUAAUACCGCAUAAGACCACAGCACCGCAUGGUGCGGGGGUAAAAACUCCGGUGGUAUGAGAUGGACCCGCGUCUGAUUAGCUAGUUGGUAAGGUAACGGCUUACCAAGGCGACGAUCAGUAGCCGACCUGAGAGGGUGACCGGCCACAUUGGGACUGAGACACGGCCCAA